Molecule: RNA transcript, 1883 nt
Organism: Vespa velutina
Lineage: Eukaryota; Metazoa; Arthropoda; Insecta; Hymenoptera; Vespidae
Gene: DEF8
Gene name: differentially expressed in FDCP 8 homolog
Exons: 9
Source: RefSeq, a predicted model, not a curated record
GUAUGCAAUGAUUAAGAAACGAAUGUUCGCAAAAUCUGGACAUACUUAACGUAAUUGUCAAUAAAGUCGUAAUCAUGUGGAGAAAGAAUUAAAUUCUUUUACGAUGUAUUUUUGGUUUUGAAUUGAUCAGUGUAGAUCACUUUAUUAUUAUUUUAUAUGUUAAAUAAAUAAUAAGAAACAUGGUAGACACAAAAAUAAUUGCAAACGAAGAACAAAAUUGUCAAGAGAGUAGAGUUCGUGCAAAUAGUUCUGGUACAACAACUUCGACACCUUCUUCUUUAUCUGAUUAUAUGACAGGAGAAGCAGAUGAUAGUUCUGACAGUAAAGGCAGCAUACCUUUCAAUUUAAAAUCCGUAGAACCUUUAGUUUCAUUAUCUAAGGCAACAUCUGAUGAAGAUCUACAAAGAAUGGUAGAAAAAUGUAAACAAAUGGUAUUAGAAAGCGCAGAAUGUUCAGAUGAAAGAAAAUGGCUUGUAAGGCGUUUAAUUGAAUUACGCUUACGAGUUCAAGAAUUGCGAGAAACAUCAGACAAGAAUCUUCUUGAAACUCAUGUAAUACUCGGUCAUCAUUUGGUUCCACAAAAGUAUCAUAUAACUUCUUCUGGACCUGUAUAUUGUGAUCAUUGUAGUGGCACAAUUUGGAUGAUGCUUCAGUCUUGGUACAUGUGCAGUGAUUGUAGGUUCUGUGUUCAUUGGAAAUGUUUAAAUAAUAUAUGUCGUGUGUGUGUACAUGUCAUUGCUAGUGAAGCUGGUGGUUAUACUUAUACUAAAGACAUUUGUCCAGAAAGAGGAUUAUCUAGUCAAGGAUAUCGCUGUGCAGAGUGCAAGAUACGAAUAACGUUUACAUUCCCGAAAGGAUUGUCAUUAUCUUGUUUUGGUAGUCCUUUUAAGAGUUCAGAAUCAGCAUGGAUAGAGCCACGACUAUGUGACUACAGUGGUUUAUAUUACUGUCAGAGAUGUCAUUGGAAUACGACUAUGGUAAUACCUGCAAGAGUUAUUAGAAAUUGGGAUAUGGAACCAAGGCUUGUUUGUCGUGCCGCAGCUCAAUUAUUGGCACUCCUUGAAGAUCGUCCAUUUUUAUUAUUGGAAGAAUUAAAUCCAAAAUUGUUUACGUUAGUCCCAGAUUUGUCUUUAGUAAAAAGAAUGAGAGAAGAAAUGCAAAUGAUGAAGCGUUAUUUAAUAAUUUGCCCAGAAGCUAAUAUACAAGGAUUGCCAUGGAAAGUUGGAUUGCGUACACAUAUAAUUGAAAAUCCUGGAAAUUAUUCGAUAAAAGAUCUUAUCGAUUUACAAAGUGGUGUUUUACUUGAAGAAAUUCGUGUUGCUUAUGAUAUUAUGCAUGUUCAUAUUACCGAACAAUGCGAAUUAUGUAAAGCUAGAGGUCAUUUGUGUGAAGUGUGUGGAAACAAUGAAAUUAUAUAUCCCUGGGAUGCUUGUGCAAUUAAUUGCCAACAAUGUCUAGCUGUGUACCAUCGUCCCUGUUGGUCUAAACGAAAUCACUCUUGUCCGCGAUGUGCACGGCUUGAAAAACGUCGAGCUUUAGAAGAAGGAGAACCUUCAAAUAUUAAGAACCUUUCUAAAAAUGAAUCAUCUGAACAACAUAAAGUUAAAAAUUCGCUUGAUUGUUAUCAGACUAUAAUUAAUAUCUGAUGAUGCAGUCAGUUGAUGGAAUAAAAUUCUGCUGAAUUGCCUCUAAACGAGCAGUCUUUGUUCAACUUGGUAAACGUUAUCGACUCUUUAUCGAAGCGAAAUAUAAAUUAUAACUAAAAAUGCUGUAUACACGACUCCUUGUAUUAAUGAUCUUGAUCUUAACGAUCGAACAGAGUAGAGGAAUAAAUAUUGGAUCAAUCUUUGGCUUCGGUCGAGAUCUUAAAAAUAAUGAAAACA